RNAcentral lists this ribosomal RNA (537 nucleotides) under Triticum aestivum (bread wheat). Its description in RNAcentral is "partial small subunit ribosomal RNA". The record is from RNAcentral. Lineage: Eukaryota; Viridiplantae; Streptophyta; Magnoliopsida; Poales; Poaceae.
AUGAAUGGUGAUAAAAAGGUGCAGUGGAAAUCAUGGGAGAAGAUGUGUGCAGCAAAACGAGAUGGUGGUCUCGGCUUUCAAGACCCGGAAGCUUUCAACCAAGCUCUCCUAGAAAAGCAGGCAUGGAGGAUCUUGCAAUAUCCGCUCUCAGUAUGUGCACGGGUUCUCAAGGUGAGAUACUUCCCGAAUAACUCCAUCAUGUCGGCCACGUGCCCCUCGGGGGGCUCGUUCACUUUCAGGAGUAUAUUCCAUGGGCAUGACCUGCUGUGGGAGGGGUUGAUUUGGAGAGUCGGAGAUGGGUCCAAGAUUAAUGUUCAUCAUGACAAUUGGAUCUCAAGGAGUGGGAGUAUGCAACCGCCGGGAGCCGUAUAUGUACUGGGAGUGACAAGGGUGGCUGAUUUGCUGUCACCUAAUGGCGCCUCGUGGAGUUUUGAUCGUGUGGAUGAGAUGUUCUCUCUAGAUGAUGUGGCGGACAUAAAACAGAUAGCGGUUGGGGGACUGGGGGACAAAGGAUACCUUAGCAUGGAACUAUACUAA